AUUGAACGCUGGCGGCAUGCCUUACACAUGCAAGUCGAACGGUAACAGGUCUUCGGAUGCUGACGAGUGGCGAACGGGUGAGUAAUACAUCGGAACGUGCCCGAUCGUGGGGAAUAACGAAGCGAAAGCUUUGCUAAUACCGCAUAAGAUCUACGGAUGAAAGCAGGGGACCGCAAGGCCUUGCGCGAACGGAGCGGCCGAUGGCAGCUUAGGUAGUUGGUGGGAUAAAAGCUUACCAAGCCGACGAUCUGUAGCUGGUCUGAGAGGACGACCAGCCACACUGGGACUGAGACACGGCCCAGACUCCUACGGGAGGCAGCAGUGGGGAAUUUUGGACAAUGGGAGAAAGCCUGAUCCAGCCAUGCCGCGUGCAGGAUGAAGGCCUUCGGGUUGUAAACUGCUUUUGUACGGAACGAAAAGACUCUUUCUAAUAAAGAGGGUCCAUGACGGUACCGUAAGAAUAAGCACCGGCUAACUUCGUGCCAGCCGCCGCCGUAA
This 498-nucleotide ribosomal RNA is filed under the name uncultured bacterium. Its description in RNAcentral is "partial 16S ribosomal RNA". It matches the Rfam family "Bacterial small subunit ribosomal RNA", at positions 30 to 523 of the family's 1533-position model. The record is from RNAcentral.